Cyprinus carpio carpio is the source of this 1743-nucleotide long non-coding RNA. Lineage: Eukaryota; Metazoa; Chordata; Actinopteri; Cypriniformes; Cyprinidae. The record is from Ensembl.
UGCUAAUGUAACUGGUGUAUGAUUGACUCAAUUUAAUUUGCUUUCUUUUAAUUCCUAUAUUGGAUUAUUUUUUUUUUUGUAUGUAUAUAUUCUGUUUAUGCUACUAUAAAUUCUAUUAGUUUCAUAAUAAGAAAGGGUUAGUGAACUCCACGAAAUUUUGUUCAUUUAUUAUUGUUUGCAAGUUAAAAUUACAUAAUAUUAGAUUCGUGGAACUUUUUCUUUGGGAUUUUGUCUGGGGAGGGGAAUUAUAUCAGUGGAACACAUCCGGGGUUUUCCCCGCGUGCGAUGUGCGAUAGCCUCAGUCCACCUGUGUGCGAGGCUAAGGAGCACAUGUAUUAUUGAGCUCUCCCCGUAAUUGACUCUGGUAUGAUGAUAUUUCUUGUCCAAAAUGCGUAUUUAUCGCUGGAUGAAUGUGAUUUAUUUUAUACUAGUACUUGAUUGUAUUAGUUAUGAUGAGAAUGUAUAUUUUGAGGUGUUAUUUGACCUUAACGAUGUGCGUUGUGACGCUAACUAAUUAGCAUCAUAUGCUUAGUGUGCCAGAGAGGGAGAAGCGGUCGCCUUUUGAUCCACUGAUUAUUUCUCCUUAUUACAGUAAAGGAAAGUGCUAAAUCUCAUCGAAGAGUGGUCGUGUGGUCUCUGUGUGUGUGGGGUGACCGGUCCAGACAUGCUACAUAAAUUUGGUGCCGUGACCCGGAUGCACCAGAUCUGCAGUAGCCGAUCGCUGGGGUUUGACAACGCCGAAUCACAACGCUUCUGAAAUCAUCGGACAAAGACUCUUCAUCGUUGACGUUUUGGUGGUGGUGUCUGGACAUGGAACGGAGUAACUGAACUCUCGCUUUACAUUACUCACACAUUGGACUUUACACUUUGCGCAUCUUUGAAGGUUUCCCUUUUUUUUAUUUGUUUUCUUUAUUUCUGUAUUUAAAAGUGGAUAACAGUGAAGUAAAUUUUUCUUGUUUUUCAUCAAUCUACCUUUCAUGAUAUGGCAGAAGGGGGGUGGAACGAAGAUUUAGUGACGCCACACAUUGGCCGGGGCCGUGGGUUUUUUGGGGUACCUGAGCCUGUAGUAGGCAAACCACGUGUUUUGGUGUAUGAUUCUGCGACUAUUUCGGGCAUGUCGAAUAAUGAGUCAAAUAAACCAAAGUCUUCCACUCCUGCCAAUGUUGGUUGUGACAGUGUUACACAGCAGCUGCGCGACCUCAUUGGCGAGCUUGGAAACCAGAUUGGUGAUUCAAUUGUUUCACGGUUGUUAACUAGCCAGAAUUCUCUAUUACCUGAUUCUUCUCCAUCGGUUGAGCAGCAACUUUCUGGGUCCAUACCCCUGUCUACAAGCCUCGAUUUGUCUAAGUUAAACCUGAUAGUAAAAACCGACAUUAGAGAACCACAAAUGUUCAGGGGGGAUGGUAGCGACAAAUGCUCCAUACUAGAGUGGAUUGAGCAGAUGAAUGUUUAUCUGGCCAAAAAGGGUUGCAACAAAGCUGAUAGCGUAGAAGAAAUACUGAACCAUCUAUGUGGUCGGGCAAAGAGCAUUGUUAAGGUUAAGCUGAAAAGUAGUCCAGUUGUUGUACUUUGUCCCGAAGUUGUCUACGAGGUACUGCGGCGCUAUUUUAGCGAGAGCCCUGGCUCAUGCCAGCCGUUGGCCGACUUUUAUGCCACGCAGCCAAAGAAAAGUGAGCGCCCUGUUGAUUAUUGGGUCAGGUUGAAUGAGGCAGCCGAGCUAGCAGACACUCACUUGAAAAGAUA